UGUGCAUGCAUACGAUUCUGUGGGCCCA
RNAcentral lists this non-coding RNA (28 nucleotides) under Rattus norvegicus (Norway rat). Lineage: Eukaryota; Metazoa; Chordata; Mammalia; Rodentia; Muridae. The record is from RNAcentral.